GAGUUUGAUCAUGGCUCAGAUUGAACGCUGGCGGCAGGCCUAACACAUGCAAGUCGAGCGGUAACAGGAGAAAGCUUGCUUUCUUGCUGACGAGCGGCGGACGGGUGAGUAAUGUAUGGGGAUCUGCCCGAUAGAGGGGGAUAACUACUGGAAACGGUGGCUAAUACCGCAUAAUGUCUACGGACCAAAGCAGGGGCUCUUCGGACCUUGCACUAUCGGAUGAACCCAUAUGGGAUUAGCUAGUAGGUGGGGUAAAGGCUCACCUAGGCGACGAUCUCUAGCUGGUCUGAGAGGAUGAUCAGCCACACUGGGACUGAGACACGGCCCAGACUCCUACGGGAGGCAGCAGUGGGGAAUAUUGCACAAUGGGCGCAAGCCUGAUGCAGCCAUGCCGCGUGUAUGAAGAAGGCCUUAGGGUUGUAAAGUACUUUCAGCGGGGAGGAA
This 444-nucleotide ribosomal RNA is filed under the name Proteus mirabilis. RNAcentral's name for it is "bacterial SSU rRNA". It matches the Rfam family "Bacterial small subunit ribosomal RNA", at positions 9 to 449 of the family's 1533-position model. The record is from RNAcentral. Lineage: Bacteria; Pseudomonadati; Pseudomonadota; Gammaproteobacteria; Enterobacterales; Morganellaceae.